RNAcentral lists this ribosomal RNA (451 nucleotides) under uncultured bacterium. Its description in RNAcentral is "bacterial SSU rRNA". It matches the Rfam family "Bacterial small subunit ribosomal RNA", at positions 354 to 796 of the family's 1533-position model. The record is from RNAcentral.
GUGGGGAAUUUUGCGCAAUGGGCGAAAGCCUGACGCAGCAACGCCGCGUGGAGGAUGAAGGCCCUUGGGUUGUAAACUCCUGUCGAGCGGGAAGAAUCGUUGGGGCGCUAAUAUCGCCUCGAUCUGACUGUACCGCCAGAGGAAGCCCCGGCUAACUCCGUGCCAGCAGCCGCGGUAAUACGGAGGGGGCAAGCGUUAUUCGGAAUUAUUGGGCGUAAAGGGCGCGUAGGCGGCCCGAUAAGUCGAAGGUGAAAUCCCCGAGCUCAACUUGGGAAUUGCCUUCGAUACUGUCGGGCUCGAGUCCGGGAGGGGAGAGUGGAAUUCCCAGUGUAGCGGUGAAAUGCGUAGAUAUUGGGAGGAACACCGGUGGCGAAGGCGGCUCUCUGGACCGGAACUGACGCUGAGGCGCGAAAGCGUGGGGAGCAAACAGGAUUAGAAACCCCGGUAGUCC